This 763-nucleotide ribosomal RNA is filed under the name Paenibacillus sp. BestV3. Its description in RNAcentral is "bacterial SSU rRNA". It matches the Rfam family "Bacterial small subunit ribosomal RNA", at positions 36 to 772 of the family's 1533-position model. The record is from RNAcentral. Lineage: Bacteria; Bacillati; Bacillota; Bacilli; Caryophanales; Paenibacillaceae.
CUGGCGGCGUGCCUAAUACAUGCAAGUCGAGCGGAGUUGAUUUGAAAGCUUGCUUUCAAAUCAACUUAGCGGCGGACGGGUGAGUAACACGUAGGCAACCUGCCCCACAGACUGGGAUAACUACCGGAAACGGUAGCUAAUACCGGAUAAUUCCUUUUGGCUCCUGCCAAGAGGAUGAAAGACGGAGCAAUCUGUCACUGCGGGAUGGGCCUGCGGCGCAUUAGCUAGUUGGUGAGGUAACGGCUCACCAAGGCGACGAUGCGUAGCCGACCUGAGAGGGUGAACGGCCACACUGGGACUGAGACACGGCCCAGACUCCUACGGGAGGCAGCAGUAGGGAAUCUUCCGCAAUGGGCGAAAGCCUGACGGAGCAACGCCGCGUGAGUGAUGAAGGUUUUCGGAUCGUAAAGCUCUGUUGCCAGGGAAGAACGUCCGGUAGAGUAACUGCUACCGGAGUGACGGUACCUGAGAAGAAAGCCCCGGCUAACUACGUGCCAGCAGCCGCGGUAAUACGUAGGGGGCAAGCGUUGUCCGGAAUUAUUGGGCGUAAAGCGCGCGCAGGCGGCUAUUUAAGUCUGGUGUUUAAACCAUGGGCUCAACCUGUGGUCGCACUGGAAACUGGGGUGGCUUGAGUACAGAAGAGGAAAGUGGAAUUCCACGUGUAGCGGGUGAAAUGCGUAGAGAUGUGGAGGAACACCAGUGGCGAAGGCGACUUUCCUGGGCUGUAACUGACGCUGGAGGCGCGGAAAGCGUGGGGAGCAAA